Molecule: microRNA precursor, 62 nt
Filed under: Paramuricea clavata
Lineage: Eukaryota; Metazoa; Cnidaria; Anthozoa; Malacalcyonacea; Plexauridae
Source: RNAcentral
GUUACGUCCACGGACAAGUCUAGUGAUGUACGAACAUCACUAGACUUGUCCGUGGACGUAAA